AGAGUUUGAUCCUGGCUCAGGAUGAACGUUGGCGGCGUGCCUAACACAUGCAAGUCGAACGCAAAUAGCAAUAUUUGAGUGGCGCACGGGUGAGUAACACGUAGCUUACCUCCCUCCGAGAGUGGGAUAACGGCUCGAAAGAGCUGCUAAUACCGCAUAAGCUCACGGUCUGUAGAGGGCUGUGAGAAAAGGGGCAACUCGCUUGGAGACGGGGCUGCGGCCCAUCAGCUAGAUGGUGAGGUAACGGCUUACCAUGGCGACGACGGGUAGCCGGCCUGAGAGGGUGUCCGGCCACACUGGGACUGAGAUACGGCCCAGACUCCUACGGGAGGCAGCAGUGGGGAAUAUUGCACAAUGGGCGCAAGCCUGAUGCAGCGACGCCGCGUGGGGGAUGACGGCCUUCGGGUUGUAAACCUCUUUCAGUACCGACGAAGCGUGAGUGACGGUAGGUACAGAAGAAGCACCGGCCAACUACGUGCCAGCAGCCGCGGUAAUUC
This 497-nucleotide ribosomal RNA is filed under the name uncultured bacterium. RNAcentral's name for it is "bacterial SSU rRNA". It matches the Rfam family "Bacterial small subunit ribosomal RNA", at positions 8 to 526 of the family's 1533-position model. The record is from RNAcentral.